RNAcentral lists this ribosomal RNA (449 nucleotides) under uncultured prokaryote. Its description in RNAcentral is "bacterial SSU rRNA". It matches the Rfam family "Bacterial small subunit ribosomal RNA", at positions 355 to 796 of the family's 1533-position model. The record is from RNAcentral.
UAGGGAAUCUUGGGCAAUGGGCGCAAGCCUGACCCAGCGAUGCCGCGUGUGUGAAGAAGGCCUUAGGGUUGUAAAGCACUUUCAGUCGUGAAGAAACGCUCAGGGCUAAUAUCCCUGAGUUUUGACGUUAGCGACAGAAGAAGCACCGGCUAACUCCGUGCCAGCAGCCGCGGUAAUACGGAGGGUGCGAACGUUAAUCGGAAUUACUGGGCGUAAAGCGCGCGUAGGCGGCUUGUUAAGUGGGAUGUGAAAGCCCUGGGCUUAACCUGGGAACUGCAUUCCAAACUGGCAGGCUAGAGUAUGGUAGAGGGAGGUAGAAUUUCCUGUGUAGCGGUGAAAUGCGUAGAUAUAGGAAGGAAUACCGGUGGCGAAGGCGGCCUCCUGGACCAAUACUGACGCUGAGGUGCGAAAGCGUGGGGAGCAAACAGGAUUAGAUACCCCCGUAGUCC